Molecule: long non-coding RNA, 1998 nt
Organism: Lonchura striata (white-rumped munia)
Lineage: Eukaryota; Metazoa; Chordata; Aves; Passeriformes; Estrildidae
Source: Ensembl
UGGGUCCUGUCCCCUGUCCCUCGCCCCGGGCUGGCACCUGCGGGUGGCAGCGGCUCUGCCGGGACGGUCAUCGCCCGCCCCGUCCCCUGCAGCCUCCUGGGCAGCGGAUCCGUCCUCGCUGUCACCUCCUGGCAGGGGCGCUGCUGCCACAUCCAGGUGAGUGUCACCGGCCUGUGGCAGUGUCCCUGCUGCCACAUCCAGGUGAGUGCCACCGGCCUGUGGCAGUGUCCCUGCUGCCACAUCCAGGUGAGUGUCACCGGCCUGUGGCAGUAUCACUGCUGCCACAUCCAGGUGAGUGCCACCGGCUCCUGGCAAUGCUGCCAUGUCCAGGUGAGUGUCACCAGCUCCCAGGGACACAGGGCUGGGUCUGGCCCCAGCUAAGCCCGAGUCAAAGCCGAGCUAACACCGGGUUUAAAGCCCCGGGCAGGGAGCAGGAGGUGCAGGAUGCCCAACUCGCGGCACUCGCCCCGGCCCCCGGGAGCCGCCUGGCCCAGCCUGGGAAGGGCCGCGGGAGCUGCCGGGGGCUGCUGCCAGCAGAGCUAACGCCGUGCCCUGUCCCCAGCUGCGCCCCCUGUUCCUCCUGGCCCUGGCAGAUUUCCUGGGUGCCACGGCGCUGCUGGGCACGGGAACCAUCCCGCUGCUGCCGGCCCCCCUCUCCGUGCCCGCCUACGCCGCCUGUCCCUACGGGCGGAUGCUGACCACGACCUCCUACGCCGUCUCGUUCCUCAUGGUCGCUGUUUACGCGUUCGAGUCGCACCGCACCGUGCUCGGGGGGCGAGCCCGGCCCCCGGCAGCGCUGCAGGUCCGUGCCUCGCCCGGCCACAGCCGGGACAGGACAAGCGAGCAGCGGGGCGAUCCGGGGCAGCCCCUUUCCCCGGGAAUCCGGGAUUUCCCCGGUCCUGGCGGAGCUGCGGCCACCCCUCCAGCCCCGGCUCACGGCGGUUCUCCCGCAGGAGCGGAGCCGCUGCCUGGAGAGCGCCUGGCAGGGAAUUCCGUACGUCCUGGCCUGGCUGGUGCCGGCGCUGACUCUCCUGGCGCAGCUGCUCGCCCGCGGCACCUCCGCCGCCGACAUCGCGCCCGUGGUGCCCUGGGCCGGCUCCAACGACACCUUCAGCCUUUACUGCUCCAGGUACGGCCCCUCCGCCCCCGCCCUGCCCGGGGCAUCGCUGCCGGGACUCCGGGGAGGCUUUGGGACCUCCAGCACCGCUCUGUCCUUGCAGCUGCCUCCUCCUGAUCCACCCGAACCAGGACAUCUGCUCCCAGGUGGGCUCUCAGGUGGGGCUCCGGGGCCGCGGGGGUCGCUGGCCCGGCUCCGCUCAUUUCCCGCUGCCUCCCAGUCCGGCGGGGGCAAGAACGCGGGGCUGGAGGAGAAAAUCAUCUUCCUGCUGUACCUGCUGCUGGUGCUCGGCUGCUGCUCGGUGAGGUCGCGGCUCGGGGGAGGCACUGGGGGUCCCCAGCGCGCCGCUGACCCCCGGACCCCCCCAGCUCCUGUACCGGCGGGUGCGGCUCCGGUGCCGGGGGAACGCGGCGCUGCCGCUGCUGAGCCUGGACAGGGACGGCGGCUUCGGGGGCAGGAGCGGCCGCAGCGUCAGCAAAGCCUCGCUGUACUUCCAGCUGGUUUUCCUGCUCUGCUGGACGCCAGGCAAGGCCAGGGGGGUGUCCCAAAGCCCCCAGCCCCACAGGGUCACAGUGAGGGUGUCCCCAGGGUCACAGUGAGGGUGUCCCCAGCUCCCCCAGCCCCACAGGGUCACAGUGAGGGUGUCCCCAGCCCCUCAGGGUCACAGUGAGGGUGUCCCCAGCUUCCCCAGGGUCACAGUGAGGGUGUCCCCAGCCCCUCAGGGUCACAGUGAGGGUGUCCCCAGCUUCCCCAGGGUCACAGUGAGGGUGUCCCCAGCUCCCCCAGCUUCCCCAGGGUCACAGUGAGGGUGUCCCAGCUCCCCAGGGUCACAGUGAGGGUGUCCCCAGCUCCCCCAGCCCCUCAGGGUCACAGUGAGGGUG